CAGGCCUAACACAUGCAAGUCGAGCGGACCAUUCCUUCGGGGAUGGUUAGCGGCGGACGGGUGAGUAACACGUAGGCAACCUGCCUGUAAGAUCGGGAUAACUACCGGAAACGGUAGCUAAGACCGGAUAGCUGGUUUCUCCGCAUGGAGGGAUCAUGAAACAUGGGGCAACCUGUGGCUUACGGAUGGGCCUGCGGCGCAUUAGCUAGUUGGUGGGGUAAUGGCCCACCAAGGCGACGAUGCGUAGCCGACCUGAGAGGGUGAUCGGCCACACUGGGACUGAGACACGGCCCAGACUCCUACGGGAGGCAGCAGUAGGGAAUCUUCCGCAAUGGGCGCAAGCCUGACGGAGCAACGCCGCGUGAGUGAUGAAGGUUUUCGGAUCGUAAAGCUCUGUUGCCAAGGAAGAACGCCUCGGAGAGUAACUGCUCUGAGGGUGACGGUACUUGAGAAGAAAGCCCCGGCUAACUACGUGCCAGCAGCCGCGGUAAUACGUAGGGGGCAAGCGUUGUCCGGAAUUAUUGGGCGUAAAGCGCGCGCAGGCGGUCUUUUAAGUUUGGUGUUUAAGCCCGGGGCUCAACCCCGGUUCGCACUGAAAACUGGGAGACUUGAGUGCAGGAGAGGAAAGCGGAAUUCCACGUGUAGCGGUGAAAUGCGUAGAGAUGUGGAGGAACACCAGUGGCGAAGGCGGCUUUCUGGACUGUAACCGACGCUGAGGCGCGAAAGCGUGGGGAGCAAACAGGAUUAGAU
This 750-nucleotide ribosomal RNA is filed under the name uncultured bacterium. RNAcentral's name for it is "bacterial SSU rRNA". It matches the Rfam family "Bacterial small subunit ribosomal RNA", at positions 43 to 783 of the family's 1533-position model. The record is from RNAcentral.